Xyrichtys novacula (pearly razorfish) is the source of this 2882-nucleotide non-coding RNA. The record is from the annotation of a GenBank genome assembly. NCBI's taxonomy places the organism in Eukaryota, Metazoa, Chordata, Actinopteri, Labriformes, Labridae.
UUGGAAAAUAUUUCAGAGCAACAUGUUCACUUUAGCUAAGAAGAUUUUCCAAAUAUACACAAACACUCCCGGGCGCACACUUGUGUCCACAAAAAAAAAAGGCAUUUUAUCUCCUCACAAACAGCUCUAAAGACCCGGCUAUCUGAAGCUCCUGCUCGGCAUUCCUGCAGAGCUGCUGGAAAUCAGUCUAAAUGGAGUGUGUUUAAUAAGAGGUUGAGCUGGACACAUUGCCUUUGAUUGAGCUGCAUACCUCACAGGAUGUGCCUGCUGAGGUUUUACAGAUUGCUCACAUGAAAGGCUCCUGAGGUUUACCUAAUCACAAGGAUGUGUGGCUGCCCCAUGCGGCCGGAUUUACAGUCCAAACACUUUGAGGGAGCGCGGCUCUGUUUUUGCUCUCUGCCCGUCUGUUACUUCCAUCUUGGUACUACAGAGUUUGGAAAGUGACUGUCAUUUGUCUUGUUAACACGAUGCAGCUAACUCGGUUAUGUAAUGGCACCUGAAUGUUAUGCGAGCCGCCUUUUAAGUCAUCUGUAGCAUUCCUUUAUAAAGCACUGACAGACCACAGAGACAGAGACCACAAUCCUUCACUCUUAACUGUACCAAAAGAUCUCGUCAUGCUCGUGAGAAAUUAAUCUUGUUGUUCCAGCCAACACGGCACAAACCUGUAAAAACCAUCACACUUUCUCUCUCUCUCAUAUAACUCCUGCAAUUAAAUCACCCAGAGACUACCUCAUUCCCUGAACCCCAAAAGUGUUUAUAUGACAAAGACAUAAGCAUUAAAGCUUCAUCAAGGACGACGUCAUGCUGUGCACCCAGAAGCUAACAGCACCAAGAGUGGCCAUUACAACACGCUGGAAGCUGCCGAGCACUGAUGUCAGCUUUUUUUACAACCCCCCUGUCUGUAACUUCAGGUUAAUACUCACUGUUAUAAGGAACUCAUGGGCAAGUAGUGAGGAGGGUGAGAGGCUGGUCACCAAGUACAAAAGCAGAGGCAGGCGCUUGUUUUGAAAGCACCAUCUGCUGGACAAGACGGGGAAGAGCAUGUGAUCAAAAAAAGUUGGGAGGUUGAAUAAAAUGCUGAUAAAAACAGUUUUUGAUAAGUUUUCAAAUCAUUUAAACCCUGUAUCCAAUAGAAAAAAAAGCAAAGACAACAUAUAAGUUGUUAAAAAAUGUUAUGUAUGGGCAUCCAUAUGUGCAUUUUGAAUUUGAUUCCAGUAACAUGCUUAAAAAAUAGGAACAGGGAUAACAAAACACUAAAAAAGGUGAAAAUCUCCUAACUGAGCAGAUUAAAGCUCCCGUAAGGAGUUUUUUUAUGUUGAUGAAAUUAAUUUUGAUUCCUUUUUAUGUUAAAUUAUAGCAAACAAGACCGUCAAUGACAAGAUCAACAGUUUCAACAUUGCUGUUUUUAAGGUCUGAAACUAGUGUGAGAGGGUUGGUGUCAGCAAAGCAGUUAAAGAAACAGUCUUCUUUUUUAAUAAUGUUCACUUGAAAUAUUCAAAAUAAAAGAUUAGAUCUAAAAGUCAGCAUGAAGAGAUCUUUUUGUCAGUAUCAAAGUAUGUUGUCGGCAGUGAAAGUAAAGACCGAUUUGUCCACAGGGAGCUCCAUGAUCAAAAUGGCCUGAAAGUUCCUUACAGGAGCUUUAAUUUUCAACUAGUUUGUAACAUGAGGCACACAAGAGAAAAGUUGAAAAGAGGUUUGGUACACUGUGUGAGAACUGUUCAACAAUAUGAAAGUGCGAUUCAAGAAAAAAAAAUAUCAUUAAAGGGGCAAAGGCAAAAAGAAAACCCAACAGUUAGUGGCCCUGAUCUUCAGGCCCUGAAGCUGCACUAAAAACAGACAUGUCUCUGAAGUAGAAGUCACUGCAGAGGCUCAAAAUCUCCCAAUAAUCCAUCAUCUCUGAACACAGUCUAUCACUGCAUCCACAAAUGCUAAACCAAUGACUCAAUGGAUCAUAAUUGACACCACAUCCUCAGCUCUUCACAGGAGAGGGACCACCAAGCUUGUUAUCUAACGGUAUGGACAUGGCAUGAGUAGCUUACACUCUGAGGAAAGCGUCAUUAAUGCUGAACAAUAUAUACAGGCGCUGGAGCAACAUACGCUGCCAUCCAGAUGAUGCUUUCUCUUUGUUUUUCUGUUAGAGUGGAUUAGCAUUUUUCAUGUGAAAUGUCACUAAAAGUAAGUGAUGUAAAAGACACCCAUCAGCUAAAGGGUGUGGGACCUUCUCUUAAAAACCAGCAUGAACACACACACACACACACACACACACACGUAACAGUGACAGUGAUGCAAUCCCUCAUACACACCCAUCACAUCCACAUCUGUAAUUACAUAAGAAUAACUGAUGAGGAGGCGUAGGGCGAAAUUCGGAAUCCAUUCCCCUCCCAGGCUGAUGGAGAGCUCAGUCUGUUCCCAGAAGGCCGCUGGCUACUGGAGUGAUGAUUCCUCUCAAACAAGCCGAGCAUUGAUGGAAGAGGCAGAGGGGAGUCUUAGGGCGUCUAAAGCCUCGGCCCAGUGGAGACAAUGUUGGAUUGAAUCAUCUCCAAGAGGGCACAUGCUGUCAACAGCUGAGCUAAUGUUAGCGUAGGCUGCUUUGAUAAUGAUACACAUGAGCAGAACAAUGAGAUCACAUUAAGAGAGGUUCAAAUGGGCUUUUUAUUCCUGAAAAUGUUGAACCGAUCAGUGUCUAAAGUGGAUUUUUAAAAACAAGUCAAUUAUGAUGAGCGAUUGAUGUCUUUGGAUCGGUUUUCGUUUUGUUGUGUGUUGAUACCGGCCUGUUGCGGAUAUCCUGAUAAUGUCAAAUUGCCCUGAUUGAUCAGUCUAUCUUUACUCUGCAGUUUUGGAGACAGACUACUGAGACAGAAUACAGUGUCUGUUGCCCAAAG